GCAUAUCAAUAAGCGGAGGAAAAGAAACCAACAGGGAUUGCCCUAGUAACGGCGAGUGAAGCGGCAACAGCUCAAAUUUGAAAUCUGGCUCUCGGGCCCGAGUUGUAAUUUGUAGAGGAUGCUUUUGAUGCGGUGCCUUCCGAGUUCCCUGGAACGGGACGCCAUAGAGGGUGAGAGCCCCGUCUGGUUGGAUGCCAAAUCUCUGUAAAGCUCCUUCGACGAGUCGAGUAGCUUGGGAAUGCUGCUCUAAAUGGGAGGUAUAUGUCUUCUAAAGCUAAAUACCGGCCAGAGACCGAUAGCGCACAAGUAGAGUGAUCGAAAGAUGAAAAGCACUUUGAAAAGAGAGUUAAAAAGUACGUGAAAUUGUUGAAAGGGAAGCGUUUAUGACCAGACUUGGGCUUGGUUAAUCAUCUGGGGUUCUCCCCAGUGCACUUUUCCAGUCCAGGCCAGCAUCAGUUUUCCCCGGGGGACAAAGGCUUCGGGAAUGUGGCUCUCUUCGGGGAGUGUUAUAGCCCGUUGCGUAAUACCCUGGGGGGGACUGAGGUUCGCGCUUCUGCAAGGAUGCUGGCGUAAUGGUCAUCAACGACCCGUCUUGAAACACGGACCAAGGAGUCGUCUUCGUAUGCGAGUGUUCGGGUGUCAAACCCCUACGCGUAAUGAAAGUGAACGCAGGUGAGAGCUUCGGCGCAUCAUCGACCGAUCCUGAUGUUCUCGGAUGGAUUUGAGUAAGAGCAUACGGGGCCGGACCCGAAAGAAGGUGAACUAUGCCUGUAUAGGGUGAAGCCAGAGGAAACUCUGGUGGAGGCUCGCAGCGGUUCUGACGUGCAAAUCGAUCGUCAAAUAUGGGCAUGGGGGCGAAAGACUAAUCGAACCUUUCUAGUAGCUGGUUUCCGCCGAAG
Molecule: ribosomal RNA, 899 nt
Filed under: Fusarium buharicum
Lineage: Eukaryota; Fungi; Ascomycota; Sordariomycetes; Hypocreales; Nectriaceae
Description: LSU rRNA
Rfam family: Eukaryotic large subunit ribosomal RNA
Source: RNAcentral